This 221-nucleotide ribosomal RNA is filed under the name uncultured bacterium. RNAcentral describes it as "partial 16S ribosomal RNA". It matches the Rfam family "Bacterial small subunit ribosomal RNA", at positions 109 to 334 of the family's 1533-position model. The record is from RNAcentral.
AGUAAUGUCUGGGGAAACUGCCUGAUGAGGGGGGAUAACUACUGAAACGGUAGCUAAUACCGCAUAAUGUCGCAAGACCAAAUGGGGGACCUUCGGGCCUCAUGCCAUCGGAUGUGCCCAGAUGGGAUUAGCUAGUAGGUGGGGUAACGGCUCACCUAGGCGACGAUCCCUAGCUGGUCUGAGAGGAUGACCAGCCACACUGGAACUGAGACACGGUCCAG